RNAcentral lists this ribosomal RNA (465 nucleotides) under uncultured Klebsiella sp. RNAcentral's name for it is "bacterial SSU rRNA". It matches the Rfam family "Bacterial small subunit ribosomal RNA", at positions 338 to 795 of the family's 1533-position model. Lineage: Bacteria; Pseudomonadati; Pseudomonadota; Gammaproteobacteria; Enterobacterales; Enterobacteriaceae. The record is from RNAcentral.
CCUACGGGAGGCUGCAGUGGGGAAUAUUGCACAAUGGGCGCAAGCCUGAUGCAGCCAUGCCGCGUGUGUGAAGAAGGCCUUCGGGUUGUAAAGCACUUUCAGCGGGGAGGAAGGCGGUGAGGUUAAUAACCUCAUCGAUUGACGUUACCCGCAGAAGAAGCACCGGCUAACUCCGUGCCAGCAGCCGCGGUAAUACGGAGGGUGCAAGCGUUAAUCGGAAUUACUGGGCGUAAAGCGCACGCAGGCGGUCUGUCAAGUCGGAUGUGAAAUCCCCGGGCUCAACCUGGGAACUGCAUUCGAAACUGGCAGGCUAGAGUCUUGUAGAGGGGGGUAGAAUUCCAGGUGUAGCGGUGAAAUGCAUAGAGAUCUGGAGGAAUACCGGUGGCGAAGGCGGCCCCCUGGACAAAGACUGACGCUCAGGUGCGAAAGCGUGGGGAGCAAACAGGAUUAGAUACCCGGGUAGUC